AUUGAACGCUGGCGGCAUGCUUUACACAUGCAAGUCGAACGGCAGCGCGGGCUUCGGCCUGGCGGCGAGUGGCGAACGGGUGAGUAAUACAUCGGAACGUGCCCAGUAGUGGGGGAUAGCUCGGCGAAAGCCGGAUUAAUACCGCAUACGACCUGAGGGUGAAAGCGGGGGAUCUUCGGACCUCGCGCUAUUGGAGCGGCCGAUGGCAGAUUAGCUAGUUGGUGGGGUAAAGGCCUACCAAGGCGACGAUCUGUAGCUGGUCUGAGAGGACGACCAGCCAAACUGGGAAUGGGACAAGGGCCAAGCUCCUAAGGGAGGCAGGAGUGGGGAAAUUUGGACAAUGGGCGAAAGCCUGAUCCAGCAAUGCCGCGUGUGUGAUGAAGGCCUUCGGGUUGUAAAGCACUUUUGGCGGGAACGAAAAGGACUGUGCCAAUACCACGGUUCGAUGACGGUACCCGCAGAAUAAGCACCGGCUAACUACGUG
RNAcentral lists this ribosomal RNA (484 nucleotides) under uncultured bacterium. Its description in RNAcentral is "partial 16S ribosomal RNA". It matches the Rfam family "Bacterial small subunit ribosomal RNA", at positions 29 to 507 of the family's 1533-position model. The record is from RNAcentral.